CCACACUGUCGCUCCAAGCUCCCAGCAGGGUGGACGAGAAGAGCCCCACCAGGAAGCCGCCCACGUUCAUGUAGAGGGUCCAGUGGGAGGCUAGCCAAUAUUAACCAUCGCUAUCUACCGCUGAGGAAACGAGGUCAUCGGGUACUCAAGGCAGAGCUGGAAGAGCACAUGACUCCUGAUGCUGCUGAUGUUCUGCGCUGUAACAGAGAGGCAGCUGGAGAGGAUCGGAGUGGGCUGAGCCCAGCUGCCUGGGUUGGAGCACCUAGGCUCUGCCACUACCUUCGGCAUGCCACUUACCACCCUGAGCCUCUGUUUUUUCAUCUGUAAAAUGGAGUUGCUAACAAAACAUGUCUCAAAAA
Molecule: long non-coding RNA, 359 nt
Filed under: Homo sapiens (human)
Lineage: Eukaryota; Metazoa; Chordata; Mammalia; Primates; Hominidae
Description: HSALNT0389188
Source: RNAcentral